CGACCAGACUCCUACGGGAGGCAGCAGUGGGGAAUAUUGCACAAUGGGCGAAAGCCUGAUGCAGCAACGCCGCGUGAAGGAAGAAGGGUUUCGGCUCGGAAACUUCUAUCAACAGGGACGAAGAUGACGGUACCUGGGGAGGAAGCUCCGGCUAACUACGUGCCAGCAGCCGCGGUAAUACGUAGGGAGCGAGCGUUGUCCGGAAUUACUGGGUGUAAAGGGAGCGUAGGCGGGACUGCAAGUUGGGUGUCAAAUCUACCGGCUCAACCGGUAGCCGCACUCAAAACUGCAGUUCUUGAGUGAAGUAGAGGCAGGCGGAAUUCCUAGUGUAGCGGUGAAAUGCGUAGAUAUUAGGAGGAACACCAGUGGCGAAGGCGGCCUGCUGGGCUUUUACUGACGCUGAGGCUCGAAAGUGUGGGGAGCAAACAGGAUUAGAUACCCGGGUACAC
Molecule: ribosomal RNA, 449 nt
Filed under: uncultured bacterium
Lineage: Bacteria
Description: bacterial SSU rRNA
Rfam family: Bacterial small subunit ribosomal RNA
Source: RNAcentral